This 386-nucleotide ribosomal RNA is filed under the name uncultured Bacteroidota bacterium. RNAcentral's name for it is "bacterial SSU rRNA". It matches the Rfam family "Bacterial small subunit ribosomal RNA", at positions 993 to 1382 of the family's 1533-position model. The record is from RNAcentral. Lineage: Bacteria; Pseudomonadati; Bacteroidota.
GACGUAUUCUGAAAGGGAUACUUCUUCGGACAAUAUACAAGGUGCUGCAUGGUUGUCGUCAGCUCGUGCCGUGAGGUGUCGGGUUAAGUCCCAUAACGAGCGCAACCCCUAUCAUUAGUUGCCAUCAGGUCAAGCUGGGGACUCUAAUGAAACUGCCUACGCAAGUAGUGAGGAAGUGGGGAUGACGUCAAAUCAGCACGGCCCUUACGUCCAGGGCUACACACGUGCUACAAUGGCCGGUACAAAGGGCAGCGAUACCGCAAGGUGGAGCAAAUCCCAAAAAAGCCGGUCUCAGUUCGGAUUGGAGUCUGCAACUCGACUCCAUGAAGUUGGAAUCGCUAGUAAUCGCGGAUCAGCAUGCCGCGGUGAAUACGUUCCCGGGCCUU